This 5827-nucleotide unclassified non-coding RNA is filed under the name Monomorium pharaonis (pharaoh ant). RNAcentral's name for it is "pOU domain, class 2, transcription factor 2, transcript variant X3". Lineage: Eukaryota; Metazoa; Arthropoda; Insecta; Hymenoptera; Formicidae. The record is from RNAcentral.
UCUGACCGCUGUAUCACCAGCCGCCGCCGUCGCAGCCGCAGCCGCAGCCGUAGCUACUGCCGUCGUAACGUGUCGCGUAAACUCUCGUCCAAGUGUGUCUUUGAUCACGCCGAACGAGGAGGACUUGUCGACAGGUUGAUCUGACUCAUCCUGUUGACAGGUCGCAGGUAGUUACUGCCAUUGACGCUUUCUAAACGCGUCAUCGGCUGAUUUCAUGCGCUGCGUCGUGACAGAUUCGCGCUGAUCAUCGCACGUGUUAUUCGGGAUGACGUGAUUAUCUAAAAAAUAUACAGCGACGAGAAGUGAUAAAUUAGUGUAGUGAUCUGGCUGGGCUAGCCGAAAUCGCAACCACUGAUGAUGUUGGAAAUGCGAAAUAAUGUUUAUUGAGUUUAUUAAUAAGUGCUUUUAUUUCUGGUAUAUUAAUGACACUUGUAAAUCAUUAUUAUACUGUCGUAAAAACAUCUUACUGAUCCGAAUGUUUGGAACAAAAGCAUAUUGUCGAUAAAGACAACUCGGAUCGAAUUUCAGUCAGGACAAUUUACUGUUUGAGCCAGUGACAGCAGUGCCGGUACUUCACGUGCUUCACGGUUAAUGUUUUGAUAGUCAUCUGACAAAAGCAGUGCUAGUACAAGACCUACUAAAAAUAUGUUUAGGAUGAAAAUCAAUAUCGUUUUUACAAAUAACAACGAUGAUCAGGCCUUAGAUAUUUUAAGCGUGGACAAGUCGUACAUUGGAUAGUUAAAUUUUAAAUUGAAGUACUGCUACAAGAACGUGUACGUGACUGAAACUCCUGAAUGAGUGUAGUGCAUUCUUAAAAGUAUCGUGUUUUCAAGAACUCGAAGACAUUGACUGGAUCUCACGUGAAGGCGAGGGAAAUAAUGUUGACUAGUAUACAGUGAAUGUCACAAGUUGUAAUUUCGUGUUAAGACCGUUAGAAACAAGCAACCGUGAAUGUUUCUUGGUUAGGGGACUGAAUUGAAUUCCAUCAUAACACUUCGAAGCAAUAUUUUGUCUUCAAAGUAUUCUGAGUGAUGAUAGUCGACGCAAGUUGCUAAGUUAGCAGCAAACGACCUCCUACUGUGUGGAACGGAUCCUUCAUCGAGAGCAGAAAUCAGCAGGUGACCACGUUGGAUCUCGCGGCGUUGACUGCCUACGGGGGCGUUUCGGGACCCAGGGUCGCGGUGGCGGGCACCGGGGUCCUUGCGCUACCCUGCUUGCUACCCGACAAGGGUUUAUCAUCGCCCGGAGGCCAGUCGAAGCCAAAGUCCGCAGGGCUGGCGGGUCUCGACAGCGAGGCGGUGCGCCGGUGGGUCGCGGAGGCUACGCGAACCGUCCGGCAAAUCCCGCCUUCGGUAGUAGUGUCUGCGAGUUCUCCACAACAUCAACAGCAACAUCAUCGUCAGCCGCAACAGCAGCAUCAGCACCAUCAUCAUACUACCCACAGGCAGCGUCAGGAACCUAGCCCACCGUCCGUGGGACUCUCCCCUUUCGUUCUACCAGUAUCGAUGACGCAGACCCCCAGUAUGCGUCUGCUGGAGAACAACAACUUGGUCGAAGUUGCCAUGGCCCAGCAGCAACAACAGUCUCAGCAGUCGACACAAAAACAAAAGCAGACAAGUCCCACAAAUAAUAACACCAUAGAAGCCUGGAGAUCGAUUCAGGGCGGGCAUCAGUGGUGGAGUCCGCCCAGUAGUAUUCAGCAAGAACAACAACAGCAACAGCAACAGCAACAGCAGCAGCAGCAGCAGCAGCAGCAGCAACAGCAGCAACAACAACAAGUAGCGUCGAUUGCACAGGUUUCUCAACCGCAAAGUCUGGUGGUCGGAUCGGUAUGUGGUCAGGUGCAGAAGCAUCAGCCGCAAGUGCAAUCGGAAAUCGAUCAGCCACUCGACUUCUCUGUUGGUUCCCUGCAGCAACAGAGGCUGUAUUCGCGCGUAAGGACUAUGCACGAGAGACUUCAGGGUAAGAUGCAUGACAACAACAACGGAACGAGCGGCCAAAAGAUCACCAAGGGAGAUGUUAGCAGACGAAGCUAUAGCCCCAGUGAAGCUAGCACCAGUAGCAGCGAAGACGAGGGUGUCUCUACCGGCGGCAGUCCUACGGGACCUCUUCGAGGCGCCUCAGAUUCGUGCGAACCCGUUGCGGAGCGACCUUACGGUAAAAUCUGGAUAGGCGACAAUGACGUCUCGUGGCGAACGGACCAGUCUUUCAAGAGGACAUCACCCUUAAAUCCCUGUGCCACGACGACUACCACGACGACGACAAGCGGUGGGCCACUGACACAUCCUCACCUGUCGCCACCCGUAACCACCCCCGAUCACAGAAGCCCCAGUAGCGUGCACGCGAAGCUUGGCAUCUCACCCGGUAGCGACGCGCUCGGCCGAAUCGAUAAGGAGCCAACCUCGCCAGAAUCCAUACAAGACGCAGACUUGCACGGCGACGUCGAUGGUCCUGAACUCAGCGGAGAUGAUAGAAGUAUCGCAAGUGACAUCCAAGAUGCCACCGAGGCGCAUCUUGAUAAUGACUCCAUGGACUCGGAUAGGGAAGCUCUCAAUCUGGUCACGGAUGUCUCGCAACGUAACAGUAGCAGCGGUACCAGCGGCAGCGCAUCCUCGCCGAGUUCCGGAAUCAGCAGUCAGCUCACGGGCAGUCAUCAGCAACAGCACACGCCCGGCCAACAAAACAACAGCAGUUCGCAGGCUGCACUGACCGCUCAAAUUAUUAGCCAACAAUUGCAAAUGAUGCACGGUUUAGGGUCCCAGGAUAUUCAAGCGCUCGCGUCGACGCUGCAGCAUCAUCAGCUACAGCAACUACAACAGCAACUACAACAAAUCGCGAUGUUUCAGGCCAAUCCGGCGGGACAGAUUCCACCGUUCUUUUUGCAAAAUCAGGGGCUGUUGCAGAGCGGUGGCUACCCAACAAGACCGAGUCAUCCGCGCUCACAGUCCAUGCAGGUGCAAGCGGCAGCGCAGUUACUACAGGCAACUAAACAGCAGGCUCUUCAGAAUAGCGGCAAUUUGGUCGGGCGAAGUUUGGCGCAGAGAUCAUCGCCACCACCCAGCACACCGCCAGCAGUAAAACCGUCAAGAUUAGAACCCUCGCCAGAGGAAACAACGGACCUCGAAGAGCUAGAACAGUUUGCCAAAACGUUCAAACAAAGACGGAUCAAGCUUGGUUUUACUCAAGGUGACGUCGGACUUGCCAUGGGCAAACUCUACGGCAAUGAUUUUUCCCAAACAACGAUCUCCAGGUUCGAAGCCCUAAAUCUUUCUUUCAAAAACAUGUGCAAGCUGAAACCAUUGUUACAAAAGUGGCUAGAGGAUGCCGAUAAUUCAUUGAACAAUCCCAAUUCUCUGUCGAAUCCACUUACGACACCGGAAGCGAUUGGCAGACGGCGGAAGAAGAGAACGUCGAUAGAGACCAGUGUGAGAGUGGCCCUCGAAAAAGCUUUUAUCCAAAAUCCAAAGCCCACGUCCGAGGAGAUAACCAUAUUGGCGGAUAGUCUUGCGAUGGAAAAAGAAGUAGUUCGUGUGUGGUUUUGUAACAGGAGGCAGAAAGAAAAGAGAAUCAAUCCACCAACGGCUGCGAUGGGCAGCCCGACGAUGACGUCGCCGGCGCCGGCUUCAGUGUUCGCUUCCCUUACCAAUUCUAUCUCUGGCAGUCCUCUAGCGCUCACAACGCAUUCUUCCAGCACCGGCCACUCGCAUCCUCAUCCAGCACCCAUACCUCUUGCUUUAGUAACCUCGUCUGGUGGCAAUUAUCAUCCGUUGAACAACAAGUCUCACGAGUGACAUCAGCAAGUCACCCAUCAAGGGGACACUCUCUAUCAUCAGCAUCAGCAAUCGCAUCAGCAACAGCAACAACAACACCAUCAUCAACAACAAGCACGACGCUUAUGCAACCUACCGGAAUUCUAUCAUUAGCCGAUGAUCCGAUUUCUUGAAGCUAUUAAUCGAGGCCGAAUGUUACCGAGGAUGCGAUGCGAAAUGUUCGCGUGCGGUGCCGAAUUUCUGCAACGUGAGUAGCAGCGCUGAGCACAUCCUUGAAGAAGAAUUUUCGUGACAAUUAUGAACGAUUGUUAAGCGGUAGUUAGUAAUAUUGUAGAUAACGCGGUACCUAGGUAAUACGUAAUGUAUAUACGAUCAUAUACACUAAAUGGCGAAUUAAAUGUAAGCGUACGCACAUUCGUAUAUCGAGAUGGAUGCAGUGGAGAUUCGGGCGCUUCCGACAUUUUAUGUUAAAUAUAUUUUUUUGUGAAAGUACAGGACACGUCAUGUAUUUUUUAAUGCGAGUACUUUAAUAUAUUUUAAUAUAUAUAUUUUUUGUAUAUAGUUUUCUUUGGUAUAUUAGAUAGAAUUUUUCGCACUCCGCUGUGACUCUCGAUUUGCGCUCGCUACGAUCGAUCCGUUUCCGCUAACACUUCGGUGAUUAAUUAAGGGCUAUGAUUUUAGAUUAUAGGCCAGGAAAAGUGAUAUACCAAUUAUAUACUUAUUCCUAAAAUCCUUGCGUGUGUAUAGAUUCCAUUAUCAACGUGAAGAAUUUUGCGUAAAAAUGUAUACAUAUAUAUAUAAAGUAAAUUUUAUUGUAAGUUCACCAACAUUACGCAAGUUAUCGACUGUGCAUCAUGUAGUAUAUACAAAAUUCAUGGUAUAUACGUACAUCUGCAUAUAUAAUGCAUAUACGUAUACAUAUGUGUAUAAACGAAUUGUACAUAGUAGAACUUAAAUAGGAGAUUGCGGAUAAUUAAGAACUAGCAAUGUGUACUGUUAUCAUCAUUAUCAUCAUGUCGUCAUUAUCAUUAUAUUAUUGAGAUCACUGUGUAGUUACAAUACACACUACUGUUGUUAAUAUCGCUUGUCAUAUAUUACAACGCGACUUUUUACAUACAGACAGUGUUUUACUUUUCUAUAACUGUAUUUACACAUGAAGGAAGUGCUGUCAUUAUUUGAUAAUUUGCACGGCUGUCACCGCAUUGUUACGUUGUGCUGCAAAAUAGUUCGAAAUGUAACAGCAGUAUUUUGAUAAGUGCAAACUUUAAUUACGUAGUUUUAAAAAAUUGUUGCUUUAACAAAGUUUUCAACAAAGUUGCUUUUAAUAAAUAGUUAACAACAGAGAGAAACUUCGCGGAAGUUUUAUACAAAUGUGUUAGAAAAUUUCUUUACGUGAAAAUCAAGUCAAACUGUUAGAUCACGUGUGAGCAACAAAUCGACAAGCCUUUUGUCUCAUUUCAUACUUCAUCUCAUUUUUAUCUUUAAACCUGAACUCCCAGAGUUGUGGACCAAGCUGUAGCGAAAACACACUGUCGACAAAAACACGCGCACGCGGACAGAGGGUCGAAUUAUACUAAGAAUAAAAAGAGAUAAAAAGAGAUACGCAAAUAAAAACAGUUCCUAAGAUCGCACAUCCGUUGGCAGGUGCGCGGACGACGAUGAGUGAAAAGAGGACAGGGAGGUAGAGAAUAAAGCUCAGAAUAUAAUUCAGAAGGAAAUUCGAAACAGGAGAUAGUUAUAUAAGAGAGUCAUAAAGACAGAGAAACGGUUAUUGAUUUUUGUUUGUCAGCCGUUUAUGAAUAAUUAACAUGAUAAUGAUAUAGAGAUAAUGAUGUAGAGAAUUCCCCUCCUCUCCUCGCUACGGCAUCAUCGUCAGCUGAUUAUUCGAUCAAUAUGUUUGCUAUAAUGCGUUUGAUAGGCGUGAGUUGAAAAUAGAAUGCAUUUUUAUUAUAUUAGUUAGUCCGUCAAUAAUUAUUAUUAGUUAUUAUUAUUUCAUUAUAUUUUAACUUUUAUUAUUUGAGAAUAAAAGAGCUAGAGAGCUUUCAGUUACAGCAGCA